Molecule: long non-coding RNA, 246 nt
Filed under: Brassica napus (rape)
Lineage: Eukaryota; Viridiplantae; Streptophyta; Magnoliopsida; Brassicales; Brassicaceae
Description: long non-coding RNA (BNAP_LNC012458)
Source: RNAcentral
UCGGGAGUUACCGCUGCUGCCCAUAGCCUGCCACCCGAUAACCUCCACUUCUACACCCAACCACACUUAUCGCUGCUGCCUUGCCCGCCAAUCGAUAAGACCAAGAACCGGAGACUUCAUAACUCGACAAGGGGAACGGCUUCUCAGUCCACACACCUUGAAUAUCUAAACGUCCAAAUUCCUUAGAAAGAAGCUCUCCCAACAGGAACUGAAAAUGAAGCCAUGCCAACCGAACCCUCUUAGGAC